GAUGAACGCUGGCGGCGUGCCUAAUACAUGCAAGUCGAGCGAACAGACGAGUAGCUUGCUCCUCUGACGUUAGCGGCGGACGGGUGAGUAACACGUGGAUAACCUACCUAUAAGACUGGGAUAACUUCGGGAAACCGGAGCUAAUACCGGAUAAUAUAUUGAACCGCAUGGUUCAAUAGUGAAAGACGGGUUUGCUGUCACUUAUCGAUGGAUCCGCGCCGCAUUAGCUAGUUGGGAAGGUAACGGCUUACCAAGGCGACGAUGCGUAGCCGACCUGAGAGGGUGGUCGGCCACACUGGAGCGGAGACACGGUCAAGAGUACUACGGGAGGCAGCAGUAGGGAAUCGGACGCAAUGGGCGGAAGCCUGACGGAGCAACGCCGCGUGAGUGAUGAAGGUCUUCGGAUCGUAAAACUCUGUUAUUAGGGAAGAACAAAUGUGUAAGUAACUAUGCACGUCUUGACGGUACCUAAUCAGAAAGCCACGGCUAACUACGUG
RNAcentral lists this ribosomal RNA (497 nucleotides) under uncultured bacterium. RNAcentral's name for it is "partial 16S ribosomal RNA". It matches the Rfam family "Bacterial small subunit ribosomal RNA", at positions 28 to 507 of the family's 1533-position model. The record is from RNAcentral.